This is a long non-coding RNA of Eriocheir sinensis (Chinese mitten crab), 568 nucleotides long. RefSeq lists it as uncharacterized. The record is from RefSeq and is a predicted model, not a curated record. The transcript is spliced from 4 exons. NCBI's taxonomy places the organism in Eukaryota, Metazoa, Arthropoda, Malacostraca, Decapoda, Varunidae.
GCGCUGAUAGUCGUGUGAGGUCAUCGUGGAGAAGGCCCCUCAGGCUCGUAUCGACAAGAAGUAUUUGGUUCCUUUGCCAGUCGGUCAAUUCUACUUCCUCAUGCGCAAGAGAAUUCCCCUGAGACCCGAGGAUGCCCUCAUCUUCUUCGUCAACAAUGUGAUUCCUCCCACCAGCGCCACCAUGGGAUCGCUCUACCAGGGAAGGAACCGAGAUGAGACCAGACUCAGCCCUCCAGUGAGCCCAGGAGACCACCGAGGGACACCCACGCACCUCAUGACAUGGGGGAGGGCGGAUGGAGAUGGUGGGAGAGUGAAGCAACCCACCCCCUGUGUAUGCUCAGGCCCAAGGUUACGUCAGGGAGGGAGACAGAGACGAGACCACUGAGCCGAAGGAACCAGUCAGGCCUUCAAGAUGCUGCCUGGAUGCUGGGGGAGACCAGACGAGACGAGUCCUGUUGGGGAGAAGAUGGAGGGAGAUUAAUUGAAGGGCAGAGAUGAGAGAGAGAUGGAACUAACUCUCUCUCCCUGUAUUUUUAUAAAGAGAAGACUAAUAAAGUUUGGAAAUAUA